Molecule: long non-coding RNA, 2716 nt
Organism: Ficedula albicollis (Collared flycatcher)
Lineage: Eukaryota; Metazoa; Chordata; Aves; Passeriformes; Muscicapidae
Source: Ensembl
AUGGGAUUUGCUGCUGGGCUCCCACUUCUCCCAGCACUGAGUGUCCCAGCUUUUCCCUCCUGCUGUUCCCUGUCCUGUAUCCCAGCUUUUCUGUCCUGCUGUUCUCUAUCCUGUGUCCCAGGUUUCCGUCCUGCUGUUCCUUCUAUCCCAUAUCCCAGGUUUUCUGUCCUGCUCUUCCCUCUGUAUCCCAGCUUUUCCCUCCUGCUCUUCCCUCUAUCCCAUAUCCCAGUUUUUUCCCUUCUGCUGCUCCUCUACUCUUCCCUCUGUAUCCCAGCUUUUCCCUCCUACUGUUCCUUCUACCCCGUAUCCCAGUUUUUUCCCUUAUUAGGGAAUAAGGGCUUGGAAAUGGGAUUUGCUGCUGGGCUCCCACUUCUCCCAGCACUGAGUGUCCCAGCUUUUCCCUCCUGCUGUUCCCUGUCCUGUAUCCCAGCUUUUCUGUCCUGCUGUUCUCUAUCCUGUGUCCCAGCUUUUCCCUCCUGCUGUUCCCUCUAUCCCAUAUCCCAGAUUUUUCCCCUCCUGCUGCUCCCCUAUCCUGUGUCCCAGCUUUUCCACCCUGCUGUUCCCUCUGUCCCAUAUCCCAGGUUUUCCCUCCUGCUGCCCCUCUCUGUCCCACAAGGGCAGGGGUUGCUGGUUUUUGGGCUCAGGAGGAUCCCAAGUCCAGGCUGGGUCUGGAAUCCCAAAUCAGGGUUUCCACAGUUCCAUGUACACACCAGGACAAAGGAAUUCCCCGUGGUGGCUCAGCAGCACAAAAUAAGGAAAGGACAGACUCCCCUGGGACCCACUGGAAUUAGGGCCCAGGGGUGGAGAGGAGCACGGGCUGUGACCACCACUAAAAAUGCAUUUGCCCAAAAAAAUCAUAAAAUAGCACCAAAAAACCUUUGUGUGGAAUCCCAGAGCGGUCUGGGUUGAAAAGGGCCUUAAACCAUUCCAACCCCAGCACCUUCCACUAUCCCAGGCUGCUCCAGCCUGGCCUGGGACACUCCCAGGGAUCCACAGCUCCUCUGGGAAUUCCAGCCCAGCCAGGAAUUCCUUCCCAAUAUCCCAUCCAACCCCAUCUGGCAGUUCAAGGCCAUUGCACCUGCAAUGGGAGAGAAAAACCCAAAGACAAAUUCACCGCGAUCCCCACCAACAAUCUGAGCCCAAACUGGCAGGGAAUGGAGGAUGGGAUGGAGAGCCUUGGGCCGUGGAGACACCUAAACCCAGCUGCUUGGGAAAGAUUUACUUCCCGAGGUUCUGUCAGAGCCGGGCUGGGGCUGGUUGGGAAGUUUGCAGGUGAUUCACUUCCUUUUCACAGCCAUAAAUUCUCCCCCGUGGGGAAAUGCAGCGACACCCCAUUUAUCAGGGAACGGCUCCAGCUCCCAAAUUCCCUGCCAGGGAUGGGAUGUGUUUUACAAGCAGCACUGCAGCAACCAGCAUCUUUCAAAAGCCAGGGGCAGGAGGGAAGGGGAUUUUCUGUGGCCAAGGUUUGGGAGCCAGGAGUUGUCAUGGCCGUAAUUCAGAUUAUCGUUUUAAAAAGAACUGAGGAGGUGGUGUUGGGGUCACUGUGGCACUGCCACACCCCCAAAACAUCAUCAAAAUCUUUCUGUGAGGGACAAUAAAUGCCAGAGCUCUGUGCUGGCUGCCCACGUGGACACAGCUCCCGCUAAUUAGCUCCUGCCAAUCAGCAGGAUGUGCCCUUUAAUGAGUGUCUGCCCUUCCCCUGCACACCCAGCGCCCACCUGCAGCCAGCACAGCUCUGCCACCAGUUUGGGGCCCACGUGGGGGAAUAAAGCACAAAAUUAUCUGGCAAAGGGCAGGGAAUACACAGGGGAUCCACAGGGGAUGUUGCAGGAAUUCUCAGGGGAUGUUGCAGGAAUCCACAGAGGAUGUUGCAGGAAUUCAUAGGGGAUGUUGCAGAAAUACACAGGGGAUGUUGCAGGAAUCCACAGGGGAUGUUGCAGGAAUUCUCAGGGGAUGUUGCAGGAAUCCACAGAGGAUGUUGCAGGAAUUCAUAGGGGAUGUUGCAGAAAUACACAGGGGAUGUUGCAGGAAUCCACAGGGGAUGUUGCAGGAAUUCUCAGGGGAUGUUGCAGGAAUCCACAGAGGAUGUUGCAGGAAUUCAUAGGGGAUGUUGCAGAAAUACACAGGGGAUGUUGCAGGAAUCCACAGGGGAUGUUGCAGGAAUUCUCAGGGGAUGUUGCAGGAAUCCACAGAGGAUGUUGCAGGAAUUCAUAGGGGAUGUUGCAGAAAUACACAGGGGAUGUUGCAGGAAUCCACAGGGGAUGUUGCAGGAAUUGGCAGGGGAUGUUGCAGGAAUCCACAGAGGAUGUUGCAGGAAUUCAUAGGGGAUGUUUCAGAAAUACACAGGGGAUGUUGCAGGAAUUCUCAGGGGAUAAUGCAGGAAUUCUCAGGGGAUAAUGCAGGAAUUCUCAGGUGUUGCUGCAGGAAUUCUCAGGGGAUGUCACAGGAACUAGCAGGAGAUGUUGCAGGAGUCCACAGGGGAUGUUGCAGGAACCCACAGCGGUUGUUGCAGGAAUUCACAGGGGAUGUUGCAGGAAUUCUCAGGGGAUGUUGCAGGAAUUCUCAGGGGAUAUCACAGGAAUUGGCAGGGGAUGUUGCAGGACCCCCCCCCCCCCCCCCCCCCCCCCCCCCCCCCCCCCCCCCCCCCCCCCCCCCCCCCCCCCCCCCCCCCCCCCCCCCCCCCCCCCCCCCCCCCCCCCCCCCCCCCCCCCCCCCC